Molecule: ribosomal RNA, 978 nt
Filed under: uncultured fungus
Lineage: Eukaryota; Fungi
Description: eukaryotic LSU rRNA
Rfam family: Eukaryotic large subunit ribosomal RNA (bases 329-978)
Source: RNAcentral
AUCGAUGAAGAACGCAGCGAAAUGCGAUAAGUAAUGUGAAUUGCAGAAUUCAGUGAAUCAUCGAAUCUUUGAACGCACCUUGCGCUCCUUGGUAUUCCGAGGAGCAUGCCUGUUUGAGUGUCUUGAAGUCAUCAACCCCCUCCGUUUCGUGCGGUUCGGGUUGGAGCUGGGGGCUCUGCCGCCGUGAGGCGGCUCCCCUCAAAUGCAUCGGUUGGGCCUGUGGGUCGAACUCGACUGGGCGUUGUACCAUCCUCGCUCGACAGAGACGUUCCCCUCUUGUGCCCUUCCCCGACCGCCUCUCAAGGGUGGCGGUCAACUUUUUGAAAUCUGACCUCAAAUCAGGUAGGACUACCCGCUGAACUUAAGCAUAUCAAUAAGCGGAGGAAAAGAAACUAACAAGGAUUCCCCUAGUAACUGCGAGUGAAGCGGGAAAAGCUCAAAUUUGAAAUCUGGCGGCUCUGCCGUCCGAGUUGUAUUCUGGAGAAGCGUCUUCCGCGCCGGACCGUGUACAAGUGCCUUGGAACAGGACGUCAUAGAGGGUGAGAAUCCCGUCUUUGACACGGACCCCCGGUGCUCUGCGAUGCGCUCUCGAAGAGUCGAGUUGUUUGGGAAUGCAGCUCAAAACGGGUGGUAAAUUCCAUCUAAAGCUAAAUAUUGGCGAGAGACCGAUAGCGAACAAGUACCGUGAGGGAAAGAUGAAAAGCACUUUGGAAAGAGAGUAAAACAGUACGUGAAAUUGUUGAAAGGGAAACGCUUGAAGUCAGUCGCGUCUGCCGGAACUCAGCCUUGCUUCUGCUUGGUGCACUUUCCGGCCGGACGGGCCAGCAUCGGUUUCGAGCGACGGACACUGGCGAGGGGAAGGUGGCAGCUCCGGCUGUGUUAUAGCCCCCCGUCGCAAACGUUGCCCGGGACCGAGGAAUCCGGCGCAAGCCUGGGAUGCUGGCGUAAUGGCUUUAAGCGACCCGUCUUGAAACACGG